RNAcentral lists this ribosomal RNA (253 nucleotides) under uncultured bacterium. RNAcentral's name for it is "partial 16S ribosomal RNA". It matches the Rfam family "Bacterial small subunit ribosomal RNA", at positions 524 to 776 of the family's 1533-position model. The record is from RNAcentral.
UACGUAGGGUGCAAGCGUUGUCCGGAAUUAUUGGGCGUAAAGAGCUCGUAGGCGGCUUGUCACGUCGACUGUGAAAACCCGGGGCUCAACUCCGGGCCUGCAGUCGAUACGGGCUGGCUUGGGUGCGGUAGGGGAGACUGGAAUUCCUGGUGUAGCGGUGAAAUGCGCAGAUAUCAGGAGGAACACCGGUGGCGAAGGCGGCCCACUGGUCCGGUACUGACGCUGAGGUGCGAAAGCGUGGGGAGCAAACAGG